UGACUGGUGAUAUUCAAUGUUUGGCUAGUAAAUAGCUACUAUUGCCAUGCCAGACAGGGCUUUUAGAUUAUGGUAGCCCCACUCCUAUGGCUGGUGAUAUUCAAUGUUUGGCUAGUAAAUAACAACUAUUCCCAUGCCAAACAGCUAGUGAACUUUUUUUGUCAAAUGUUGCAGUUACGUCUAUUUUGUAAAUAUGAAUAUUCUACCCUUGCCCCAACCUCCCAAUGUUAGUGUUUUUAAGCUCUAUCUCCCUCUUACCCAAUUAUUACUAUUAUUUAAUAAAAUUGUAUUAACUUAAAGUACUGUAGGGCUAGUGAAUUUUUAAUGGUGGGUAGUAAAUGUUGAUUUUAUUAAAACAAUCUAGAAGCCCUGUGUACACUACAUUUUUACUGGUCAUUUGAGCUGAAUUUAUUGGCCAUAGGUUAGAAUGUUGAUGGUUGCAUUAUUAAAAAAUACACUAUUUGCCAUUCAUCCAUCGUUUAUUAGCUGUAGGUUAGAAUGUUGAUGGUUGCAUUAUUAAAAAAUACACUAUUUGCCAUUCAUCCAUCGUUUAUUGGCCAUAGGUUAGAAUGUUGAUGGUUGCAUUAUUAAAAAAUACACUAUUUGCCAUUCAUCCAUCGUUUAUUAGCUGUAGGUUAGAAUGUUGAUGGUUGCAUUAUUAAAAAAUACACUAUUUGUCAUUCAUCCAUCGUUUAGGACCACAGACAAAUCUUCGGAAAUCUGGAAUGAGGUCUUGUGGAAUGUCUUUUAGUUGAGAACAAAGUUGGUUAUAUGGUAUUCGUGUUACAUUUUAUGACAUCAUAUCUCAUUUGUAAACUCACAAAUAAAUAUGUUUUAUGAGAAUUUGGUACAGACCAUAGAAGUAUUUCUAAAUAAUGUGGACAAGUUUGACUUUAGAUGAAGAAUUUAAUACAUUUAUUGUGCCUUACUGAUAAUACCGUUAUGAAGGAAGGAAUAAGGGCUCUCGUUAAACACCCCUCAACAAUAUGGGAGUGCUGGCUUAUAGUAUUACCCUGGUCCUGAAACUGGGUUUAUUUCACUAUUCUUCUCAGUCUUGUUAGUGUUUCUGAUGGAACCUUAUAUUGAUAGGCAAAUUCAGUAAUACAUGUAUUCUUGUCUUGAGUAAAGUUAAAAAUUAGUUUCGGCAACUGGAUUUUAAAAACAACUUUUAUCAUGGAUAUAUUCAUGUAUGUACAAACGGGAAAACCUUGUUAAGUAGCCGUCUCAAAGAGUGUCAAAAUGUGACACCUUAAGUUAUGAGCAGCAGUGAAAACGUUUGUACAAUUAGGUACUGAAAGUGAAGACAAACCAAAUGUUUCUACAUCACUCAAAGCAUUUGGCACAAUUAUCCUUCAAGCUACUCUUCAGCCUUCAUACUUUCAUCAACUUGGUAGUUACCACAAAGGAAGACGUUCAAAUUCUGGAACCGACAAUAAUCACAAAUCAUACAUGGGUGAAUUUCAGUGGCAUUUUCACCUUCCUUGGUGAUAAACGUGAUGGCGGCUCUUUGUUCCAAUGUUGUACGAUUCACAGUUUCAGAAGAAUAGGAUACCAUUAAGCAAUAUGUAAAUGGUUAUGUUAUUGAAACACUUGACAUGUAUUAUGAAUGAACUAACUUCAAAGAAAAAAUCAAAACAUAUGAUGGUGUACCAAACUUUGGUAUCCUCCUACCAAAAAACCUUUUGUAAACAAUUUCAGUUUGCUUUGAGUAAUAAGAAAAAUAAGUGUUUUGGAAUAAAUAACUUAGUUCUACAACCUUUCUGACUGUACCUCAUAUGCUACGGGUUUGUACUAUACUGAAAAUGCAAUGCUCAGAUUUGUAGAUGUAUAAAGGAUAUGAGAAAAACUAAUAUUUGGCUGAUUUUUUUCUAGGCAAUAAAUAACAAAAGAAUUGUAUACAAUAUUAUUGUGUUCUGUAGCAGCCUCACACGUGAUUGCAAUAACUGAAAAUUGGGUUGUACGAUUUCAUCGGAGUUUAGUAUAUACCAAGAUUAUUUAUAAGAAGACGAGAUGGCCCCUUAAAGGUGUAGUAGCAUGGACAACUCCGACUAUAUGGCACAGCAGAAUAUUACCUUCAAAUUGUAAUUGAUGUAUUUAAUUUACAUGUACAGUGCUAUACUUCACUGAACCAUCUACAGUUGUCGCAUACCACUUGUUAGUCCCCUACCGGUCCAACCGGAGGGAACUUAGGUUAAAUCUUGGUCCUUCUGUCUGUCCUCCUAUCUCACAUAUACAUGUAGUUUUCCAGAUUAUUUUUUUGUUCACAAUGUCUUAUGAUAUUUAGCUGAAUUUCUGUAUAAUCUUUAUCAUGUACUGUUAGUAACUUACAGAUCAAGUUCGACUUUCAUGAUAAUUUACCUGGGUUUUUUUUUUAGAGUUAUGGUCCUUGAACGUUUUUUGCAGUGCCUCAAGAUACCGAGAUGAAAUAUUAUAUAUUGCUUUAUCAUGUACUGUUGCAGAUCAAGUUUAACUUUUGUGGUGAUUUAUGGCCCCUGAAUUUAGGAGAUAUGAAAAUUUGUUGUGGCCUGGUAGGGUACAUGUCAAUAUUGCCUUAGCAGUACUUUUGAAUUCUUGUUAGCAAUACAAAUGUAUUAAUAAUGGCUAUUGGUCAUAAAUCAGAAGAGACCCAUAUUGAAUUUUUAUUUUGCCAUAAAUUGACAGCGAUAUUUAGUCACCAAGGUGAACAUAAUUUCUUUUCCUAUAUUACCUGUCCUCAAAAUGAUCGGACCAGUCCACUUGCGUGGGGGGAGAUGCACUUGUUUUGAGGACAGGUAAUAUUUCUAAAAGAGAAAACACUUAAAGUUUUCUCCAUUUUGACAUAUAAUUUAGGAUUAGACACAACUUUGUAAUCUGUGAUACUGUGCUUUUAAGAUAGUUGGCUGCUUAAGUAGGGUUGACUAGUUCAUUUCGUCAAACGUUUUUUUACCUUUUAUUAUCUAGUACUCUGGGUACAUACAAGUUUUGGAAAUUUUGCAAAAUUAUGUAAUUUUCUAGGCUUGUAAAGUCGUGGAAUUUUUGUUUGGGUCAUAGAAAAUUACAAUUUGUUGAAAAUAAUUUCUUUUCCAUUUGAAACAACACAAGAAAAGAGACAAUUAGCAUGCUGUUGAUGAGCAUAAAUAAAAUCCUUGAAAUUUUUUUUUAAACAAGGUUGUGGAAAAUGCCUGUAAAGGUAAUUUAGUUUGAUGUUUAUGAACCCUGGUACUGUAACAGCAAGCAUUUUUCAUUACUUUAUAUUACAAAUGUACUGCAAAUGUUUGUUUUUAAAAAUACACUCUAUAAAAAAGUCUUUUAAAUUGUUUACGAAUAAAAUUUGUAUCAAAUAGAAAA
This 3327-nucleotide long non-coding RNA is filed under the name Gigantopelta aegis. Its description in RNAcentral is "uncharacterized LOC121383268". The record is from RNAcentral. Lineage: Eukaryota; Metazoa; Mollusca; Gastropoda; Neomphalida; Peltospiridae.